UGCGCAGGCGGCGGCUCAAGUCAGGUGUGAAAUCCCCGGGCUUAACCUGGGAAUUGCGCUUGAAACUAGGUCGCUAGAGUGUGGCAGAGGGGGUGGAAUUCCACGUGUAGCAGUGAAAUGCGUAGAGAUGUGGAGGAACACCGAUGGCGAAGGCAGCCCCCUGGGUCAACACUGACGCUCAUGACAAGACUGGGGAGCAAACA
RNAcentral lists this ribosomal RNA (203 nucleotides) under uncultured bacterium. RNAcentral describes it as "partial 16S ribosomal RNA". It matches the Rfam family "Bacterial small subunit ribosomal RNA", at positions 568 to 774 of the family's 1533-position model. The record is from RNAcentral.